RNAcentral lists this long non-coding RNA (208 nucleotides) under Mytilus galloprovincialis (Mediterranean mussel). The record is from RNAcentral. Lineage: Eukaryota; Metazoa; Mollusca; Bivalvia; Mytilida; Mytilidae.
GAUGCACAAAUGUUUCUGUUUUCCCAACACGCCAUGCAUUUGCUAAUUUGUCCAGAUUUCGCACAUAUUAUAACUUCGGGUACUAACAUAGCGACCACAGGUACCUCCACCAAAUGUAACGGGGAUUUUUUGUGUGUGUAUGUGUUUUGGAACUACAUGUCAUUAUUUCGGGAAUAUGUAUGCGGGAUCGAUAACUCCAUCUUGCCCG